AACGCGAAGAACCUUACCUAGGCUUGACAUGUAUUUGACAGUUGUAGAAAUACAAUCUUUCGGAUUUCGGUUCGGACAGAUACACAGGUGCUGCAUGGCUGUCGUCAGCUCGUGUCGUGAGAUGUUGGGUUAAGUCCUCUAACGAGCGCAACCCUUGCUAUUAGUUGCUACUUACGUGAGUAAGGCACUCUAAUGGGACUGCCUGGGAAACCAGGAGGAAGGUGGGGACGACGUCAAGUCAUCAUGGUCCUUAUGUCUAGGGCUACACACGUGUUACAAUGGUCGGUACAAAGGGCUGCAAGCUCGCGAGAGUAAGCCAAUCCCUAAAGCCGAUCUAAGUUCAGAUUGGAGUCUGCAACUCGACUCCAUGAAGUUGAAAUCGCUAGUAAUCGCGUAUCAGCAACGACGCGGUGAAUACGUUCUCGGGCCUUGUACACACCGCGUGUCU
RNAcentral lists this ribosomal RNA (448 nucleotides) under uncultured bacterium. RNAcentral describes it as "bacterial SSU rRNA". It matches the Rfam family "Bacterial small subunit ribosomal RNA", at positions 958 to 1399 of the family's 1533-position model. The record is from RNAcentral.